UCUGGCUCAGGAUGAACGCUGGCGGCGUGCUUAACACAUGCAAGUCGAACGGGAAACAUUUCAUUGAGGCUUCGGCGGAUUAGGUCUGUUUCUAGUGGCGGACGGGUGAGUAACGCGUGGGUAACCUGCCUUAUACUGGGGGAUAACAGCCAGAAAUGACUGCUAAUACCGCAUAAGCGCACGGGGCCGCAUGGUCCUGUGUGAAAAACUCCGGUGGUAUAAGAUGGACCCGCGUUGGAUUAGCUAGUUGGCAGGGCAGCGGCCUACCAAGGCGACGAUCCAUAGCCGGCCUGAGAGGGUGAACGGCCACAUUGGGACUGAGACACGGCCCAGACUCCUACGGGAGGCAGCAGUGGGGAAUAUUGCACAAUGGGGGAAACCCUGAUGCAGCGACGCCGCGUGAAGGAAGAAGUAUCUCGGUAUGUAAACUUCUAUCAGCAGGGAAGAUAAUGACGGUACCUGACUAAGAAGCCCCGGCUAACUACGUGCCAGCAGCCGCGGUAAUACGUAGGGGGCGAGCGUUAUCCGGAUUUACUGGGUGUAAAGGGAGCGUAGACGGCGUAUCAAGUCUGAUGUGAAAGGCAGGGGCUUAACCCCUGGACUGCAU
This 607-nucleotide ribosomal RNA is filed under the name uncultured bacterium. RNAcentral describes it as "bacterial SSU rRNA". It matches the Rfam family "Bacterial small subunit ribosomal RNA", at positions 18 to 626 of the family's 1533-position model. The record is from RNAcentral.